CAAAAGGCUCUUUUCAGAGCCACCCACAACUUCAGUAAGAGCUUGG
Molecule: regulatory RNA element, 46 nt
Organism: Pelodiscus sinensis (Chinese soft-shelled turtle)
Lineage: Eukaryota; Metazoa; Chordata; Testudines; Trionychidae
Rfam family: Histone 3' UTR stem-loop
About the family: The mRNAs of metazoan histone genes lack a poly-A tail.
Source: Rfam